AAAGGACUUUGAAAAGAGAGUUAAAUAGUGCGUGAAACUGCACAUUGAAAAGCGAAUGAGUACGCAUGGGUCCCGGCGCUGCUAUUCAGGUGUUUUCUUUGGCAGCAAUGUGGUAAUUUGUUUACCGCAAAGUUGUCUUGAAUGCACUGCACUUAGCAGCCCGGCAAUCUGUUUGGCUUUGUUGAGGCUGCAAUUGUGAGAAGGUAAUCCUCCUUCUCGUAAGGAAGGUAUGGUUGUUAGUAGCAUCGCUUCGGCGAGCGCACAAGUAUCCACUAUUCGUGGUGGUGGUCAGCUAAGACAAAGUUUGGCAAACUCUUGCUCUAGCGAUCAAAUUGAUAGUUGUUCCGGCUGGUUGAGUACUAUUGAUAUGUUUAUUACAUAUCACGGCUUGUUUGGUCAGAUUUGGAUUGGCGUUAUCGGUCGCUUGAAUGCUAAAAACAGAUAAUGUUGCGGCAUCAUUCGAACCGUCUUGAAACACGGACUAAGGAGUUCAACAAAUGCGCGAGUUUGCUGGUUUUGCGAAACCAGGCGGCGUAGUUAACGCGAGUGUGUGGUUGAUAGCGAUAACCUGACGGCUGCAAAGCCUGUUGGGGUCAUCGCCUAUGAUGGAUGGCAUACAAAGUACCGAUUGUUGUUCGCAAUAGAGCGCAUAUGCUGAGACCCGAAAGAUGGUGAACUAUGCCUGAGUAGGAUGAAGCCGGAGGAAACUCUGGUGGAGGUCCGAAGCGUUUUUGACGUGCAAAUCAAUCGUCAGACUUGGGUAUAGGGGCGAAAGACUAAUCGAACCAUCUAGUAGCUGGUUCCCUUCCAA
Molecule: ribosomal RNA, 811 nt
Filed under: Octospiniferoides sp. MGV-2009
Lineage: Eukaryota; Metazoa; Acanthocephala; Eoacanthocephala; Neoechinorhynchida; Neoechinorhynchidae
Description: LSU rRNA
Rfam family: Eukaryotic large subunit ribosomal RNA
Source: RNAcentral